CCUACGGGCGGCAGCAGUGGGGAAUAUUGGACAAUGGGGGCAACCCUGAUCCAGCCAUGCCGCGUGUGUGAAGAAGGCCCUCGGGUUGUAAAGCACUUUCAGUGAGGAAGAACGCCUGGUGGUUAAUACCCAUCAGGAAAGACAUCACUCACAGAAGAAGCACCGGCUAACUCCGUGCCAGCAGCCGCGGUAAUACGGAGGGUGCGAGCGUUAAUCGGAAUUACUGGGCGUAAAGCGCGCAUAGGUGGCUUGAUAAGCCGGUUGUGAAAGCCCCGGGCUCAACCUGGGAACGGCAUCCGGAACUGUCAAGCUAGAGUGCAGGAGAGGAAGGUAGAAUUCCCGGUGUAGCGGUGAAAUGCGUAGAGAUCGGGAGGAAUACCAGUGGCGAAGGCGGCCUUCUGGACUGACACUGACACUGAAGUGCGAAAGCGUGGGUAGCAAACAGGAUUAGAUACCCGGGUAGUC
Molecule: ribosomal RNA, 465 nt
Filed under: Vreelandella stevensii
Lineage: Bacteria; Pseudomonadati; Pseudomonadota; Gammaproteobacteria; Oceanospirillales; Halomonadaceae
Description: partial 16S ribosomal RNA
Rfam family: Bacterial small subunit ribosomal RNA
Source: RNAcentral